This is a non-coding RNA of Oncorhynchus mykiss (rainbow trout), 674 nucleotides long. The record is from RefSeq and is a predicted model, not a curated record. Lineage: Eukaryota; Metazoa; Chordata; Actinopteri; Salmoniformes; Salmonidae.
UUCUCCAUGAAAUGCCAUGUUUGAUGUGGAUCCAAUCACACAGUCACCUCGUUCUUAUUGGCAACCCGUUAAGUAUAUCACACAGGGACCACCACUCUGUGCAUGACGUGUGCAAAUGUCACCAUCCGCAACUGAUAAAAUGUCACAACGACCUGCCUCCAAACAUGGGUUCAGCUGCACACAGAGAAAGAGAGAAAAAGGGAGCAGAGAAGAAAGAAGAGAAAAUCAUCAUCUCCUUUCUCUGGCCUUAUCGUCUCAGGCUUUGAUCCAGCUCAGACUGUGUUAAAGGACUCACUCCCUGUCAUCCUGGCCCACUGCUGUUGCUCCUGUGUUGCUGGGACUACUAUGUGCAACCUCACAGUUGCACUGCUCUACCAGACAGAACACUACUGUCAACUUGGGAUUGGUGUGGUUCCCUCUGUCCAUAGUUGCACUGAGAGUGAGCAGAGGUGGCACAAGCAAAGAACAAUGGGUGUGAAGCCAGGCCCUGUUAGGAUGAUGGUCCUGCCAGCAAGACCCAAAGAGGAGACUGGCAGAGGGAGUGAGGAUGUCGGUUUGGCGGAGCUGGGAGAGUCGUCAGCAAAAUGGGACACACCCGGGCUCGGUGUGCACGCCCAAUUUUUCAGUUUUUGAUUUGUUAAAAUAGUUUGAAAUAUCCAAUAAAUGUCGUUCCA